UGGGGAAUAUUGGACAAUGCGCGCAAGCCUGAUCCAGCCAUGCCGCGUGAGUGAUGAAGGCCCUAUGGUUGUAAAGCUCUUUCACCGGUGAAGAUAAUGACGGUAACCGGAGAAGAAGCCCCGGCUAACUUCGUGCCAGCAGCCGCGGUAAUACGAAGGGGGCUAGCGUUGUUCGGAAUUACUGGGCGUAAAGCGCACGUAGGCGGACAUUUAAGUCAGGGGUGAAAUCCCGGGGCUCAACCCCGGAACUGCCUUUGAUACUGGGUGUCUUGAGGUCGAGAGAGGUGAGUGGAAUUCCGAGUGUAGAGGUGAAAUUCGUAGAUAUUCGGAGGAACACCAGUGGCGAAGGCGGCUCACUGGCUCGAACCUGACGCUGAGGUGCGAAAGCGUGGGGAGCAAACAGG
RNAcentral lists this ribosomal RNA (404 nucleotides) under uncultured prokaryote. RNAcentral's name for it is "bacterial SSU rRNA". It matches the Rfam family "Bacterial small subunit ribosomal RNA", at positions 355 to 776 of the family's 1533-position model. The record is from RNAcentral. RNAcentral also lists the same sequence under 1 other name.